AUGACUUGUCAUAUAUCUAACAACAAACAACUAACAACAAACAAUGCUUUAUUUUCAAUUUCAAAUAACUCAAACCACACCAUCAAUUCUAUUUAUUACGGUGAGACAACCAUAACCAAACACUAAAGCAACCAUUAAUUACCUUAACAACCAUUUAGACCGAAGCUACACCAUCUCAUUACAGACCAGAAGCUACACCAGCACAUUUUCGACCAGAUGAAAGAGAGAAAGACUAACCUGUGAUGCUGCGUAUUCUUCUGUAAAAUGACCCUUGCUUAAGCACACUUGAUCCA
RNAcentral lists this long non-coding RNA (293 nucleotides) under Brassica napus (rape). Its description in RNAcentral is "long non-coding RNA (BNAP_LNC025814)". The record is from RNAcentral. Lineage: Eukaryota; Viridiplantae; Streptophyta; Magnoliopsida; Brassicales; Brassicaceae.